Molecule: long non-coding RNA, 365 nt
Filed under: Equus asinus (donkey)
Lineage: Eukaryota; Metazoa; Chordata; Mammalia; Perissodactyla; Equidae
Description: lncRNA (ENSEASG00005028495.1)
Source: RNAcentral
CUUGAAUUGGCUUGGCUGGGGAAUAAGUGAGCCCACAUAGGGGAAGAUGGCACACAGUGUGCUCGACAAACGGUGCUAGGUCCAUGCCCAGGAUCCAAGUCUGAGAACCCUGGGGCCUCUGAAGCCGAGUGUGUGAACUUCACCACUACACUACCAGCUGAGCAAUCCAAUCGCCAACACUCCUGCUGCCACGGAAGACUCGAGGAAAUUCCUGCAGAAGGGCUCCAGGCAUACACAGCGGAGUCUAAAACUAGACCGUCAUGAAACUCACGGCUUUCAUCAACUGACCAACCAAAUUCACUUUCUAAGCAUGAAUGUGAUUGGAGGUUAAUAGAGUCCAGCAUAAUCCAAUGCUCAGAAUUAAA